RNA transcript from Felis catus (domestic cat), 659 nucleotides. It is a transcript of the gene named testis expressed 46, with no coding region annotated. The transcript has 3 exons. The record is from RefSeq and is a predicted model, not a curated record. NCBI's taxonomy places the organism in Eukaryota, Metazoa, Chordata, Mammalia, Carnivora, Felidae.
GGAGAAGUUAAUAUUAUUGUUAUGCGGCAGCUAGGAGGGGGACUGGUUAUGACUUGGAGGAGGGCGCAGCCACAGCUCCUGUCAUGGAGGGAAUCUCCAUGGGACACUUGCUUCCUCGGGCACCAUAGGAGCAUUGGUGGCUUGGCUGAUCAGCUAUAAGCCAGGCUUGUUUGGGUUCCUAUUCCUUCUGCUGUUGCUUAGCAACUGGUUGGUCAAGAAUGAAGUCCAGCCCACCCCCCUAGAGCCCCAGCAGGAAGAGGCAGAGAAACCCAAGCCACCUGAAGCGAAACCCAACAGCUGCGUCAUGAACACAAAAGAAGUCGAGAGACUACAUGCCUGCUUUGCCCUCCAGGACAAGGUCCUUGAACGGCUUAUGUUCAGCGAAAUGAAGCUGAAGGUCUUAGAAAAUCAGAUGUUCGCUGUAUGGAAUAGAAUGAAUCGCCACAGGAGGUCAAGCCGGCAGCGGACUUUUCCCAUGAGGAAACACAGACUGAGGAGGCACGACUCAAUUUUCUGCAUCAUCUCUGAUUGUACUUCGAAUUCCCCUUAAUGAGGUCAGAGAGACUGGGGUGGGCUGGCCUCUUCUGGUGUUACCCUUACUCAGUAAAACCCAGUCAGAGACUAGUGAGUUUUCUCAGUAAACCACACUGGAGAGCAUA